GAUGAACGCUGGCGGCGUGCCUAAUACAUGCAAGUAGAACGCUGAAGCUUGGUGCUUGCACCGAGCGGAAGAGUUGCGAACGGGUGAGUAACGCGUAGGUAACCUGCCUCUUAGCGGGGGAUAACUAUUGGAAACGAUAGCUAAUACCGCAUAAAAGUCGGCAUUGCAUGAUGUUGACUUGAAAGGUGCAACUGCAUCACUAAGAGAUGGACCUGCGUUGUAUUAGCUAGUUGGUGAGGUAACGGCUCACCAAGGCGACGAUACAUAGCCGACCCGAGAGGGUGAUCGGCCACACUGGGACUGAGACACGGCCCAGACUCCUACGGGAGGCAGCAGUAGGGAAUCUUCGGCAAUGGACGGAAGUCUGACCGAGCAACGCCGCGUGAGUGAAGAAGGUUUUCGGAUCGUAAAGCUCUGUUGUAAGAGAAGAACGAGUGUGAGAGUGGAAAGUUCACACUGUGACGGUAACUUACCAGAAAGGGACGGCUAACUACGUGCCAGCAGCCGCGGUAAUACGUAGGUCCCGAGCGUUAUCCGGAUUUAUUGGGCGUAAAGCGAGCGCAGGCGGUUAGAUAAGUCUGAAGUUAAAGGCUGUGGCUUAGCCAUAGUACGCUUUGGAAACUGUUUAACUUGAGUGCAGAAGGGGAAAGUGGAAUUCCAUGUGUAGCGGUGAAAUGCGUAGAUAUAUGGAGGAACACCGGUGGCGAAAGCGGCUCUCUGGUCUGUAACUGACGCUGAGGCUCGAAAGCGUGGGGAGCAAACAGG
Molecule: ribosomal RNA, 765 nt
Filed under: uncultured Streptococcus sp.
Lineage: Bacteria; Bacillati; Bacillota; Bacilli; Lactobacillales; Streptococcaceae
Description: bacterial SSU rRNA
Rfam family: Bacterial small subunit ribosomal RNA
Source: RNAcentral